RNAcentral lists this ribosomal RNA (443 nucleotides) under uncultured bacterium. RNAcentral's name for it is "partial 16S ribosomal RNA". It matches the Rfam family "Bacterial small subunit ribosomal RNA", at positions 338 to 795 of the family's 1533-position model. The record is from RNAcentral.
CCUACGGGCGGCAGCAGUGGGGAAUAUUGGGCAAUGGGCGCAAGCCUGACCCAGCAACGCCGCGUGAAGGAAGAAGGCUUUCGGGUUGUAAACUUCUUUUCUCAGGGACGAAGCAGGCGACGGUACCUGAGGACUAAGCGACGGCUAACUACGUGCCAGCAGCCGCGGGAAUACGGAGGGGGCAAGCGUUCUCCGGAUUUGCUGGGUGUAAAGGGCGUGUAGGCGGGACGGCAAGUCAGAUGUGAAAACCAGGGGCUCAACCUGUGGCCUGCAUUUGAAACUGGAGUUCUUGAGUACUGGAGAGGCAGACGGAAUUCCUAGUGUAGCGGUGAAAUGCGUAGAUAUUAGGAGGAACACCAGUGGCGAAGGCGGUCUGCUGGACAGCAACUGACGCUGAGGCGCGAAAGCGUGGGGAGCAAACAGGAUUAGAUACCCGAGUAGUC